RNAcentral lists this ribosomal RNA (491 nucleotides) under uncultured bacterium. RNAcentral's name for it is "partial 16S ribosomal RNA". It matches the Rfam family "Bacterial small subunit ribosomal RNA", at positions 29 to 506 of the family's 1533-position model. The record is from RNAcentral.
AGUGAACGCUGGCGGUAGGCCUAACACAUGCAAGUCGAACGGCAGCACAGUAAGAGCUUGCUCUUACGGGUGGCGAGUGGCGGACGGGUGAGGAAUACAUCGGAAUCUACUUUUUCGUGGGGGAUAACGUAGGGAAACUUACGCUAAUACCGCAUACGACCUACGGGUGAAAGCAGGGAAUCUUCGGACCUUGCGCGAUUGAAUGAGCCGAUGUCGGAUUAGCUAGUUGGCGGGGUAAAGGCCCACCAAGGCGACGAUCCGUAGCUGGUCUGAGAGGAUGAUCAGCCACACUGGAACUGAGACACGGUCCAGACUCCUACGGGAGGCAGCAGUGGGGAAUAUUGGACAAUGGGCGCAAGCCUGAUCCAGCCAUACCGCGUGGGUGAAGAAGGCCUUCGGGUUGUAAAGCCCUUUUGUUGGGAAAGAAAAGCAGCAGGUUAAUACCCCGCUGUUCUGACGGUACCCAAAGAAUAAGCACCGGCUAACUUCGU